UUUUCUAUAGCCAUGUUUCCUCAGCUUAGAGUUGUGCUUCCCGCUUUAAGGCACACUUAACCAGCAUGGCUACCCCAGCAUGACGACACGACAGUGGUAGGCCUGAUCACCAACAACGAUGAGACGGACUGCACAACGCAUCACCGGGGGUACACUACCUGCCCUCCAGGACACCUACAUCACCCGAUGUCACAGGAAGGCAAAAAAAGAUCAUCAAGGACAAUAACCACCUGAGCCACUGCCUGUUCACCCCGCUAUCAUCCAGAAGGUCCUGGCAGAGUUGUGCAGACUCAGGACAACGGAGCUUUGGAGGAAUACGCAGAUUUAAAGAGGAGUCCGUAAUUUGCUUUCUAAUGAUCAUGAUCUUUUCCUCAAAGAAGUUCAUGAAUUCAUCACUGCUGAAGUGAAAGCAAUCCUCUCUUGGGGAAUGCUGCUUUUUAGUUAGCUUUGCGACAGUAUCAAAAAUACAUUUCGGAUUAUUCUUAUUUUCCUCAAUUAAGUUGGAAAAAUAGGAUGAUCGAGCAGCAGUGAGGGCUUUUCGAUACUGCACGGUACUGUCUUUCCAAGCUAGUCGGAAGACUUCCAGUUUGGUGUGGC
Molecule: long non-coding RNA, 597 nt
Filed under: Salmo salar (Atlantic salmon)
Lineage: Eukaryota; Metazoa; Chordata; Actinopteri; Salmoniformes; Salmonidae
Description: lncRNA (ENSSSAG00000093941.1, ENSSSAG00000098354.1)
Source: RNAcentral